This 435-nucleotide ribosomal RNA is filed under the name Prymnesium polylepis. RNAcentral describes it as "partial Eukaryotic large subunit ribosomal RNA". It matches the Rfam family "Eukaryotic large subunit ribosomal RNA", at positions 12 to 444 of the family's 3401-position model. The record is from RNAcentral. Lineage: Eukaryota; Haptophyta; Prymnesiales; Prymnesiaceae.
CAGGUAGGGAUACCCGCUGAACUUAAGCAUAUCAAUAAGCGGAGGAAAAGAAACCAACAGGGAUUGCCCUAGUAACGGCGAGUGAAGCGGCAACAGCUCAAAUUUGAAAUCUGGCUCUUUUAGAGUCCGAGUUGUAAUUUGCAGAGGGCGCUUUGGCUUUGGCAGCGGUCCAAGUUCCUUGGAACAGGACGUCACAGAGGGUGAGAAUCCCGUACGUGGUCGCUGGCUAUUGCCGUGUAAAGCCCCUUCGACGAGUCGAGUUGUUUGGGAAUGCAGCUCUAAAUGGGAGGUACAUUUCUUCUAAAGCUAAAUAUUGGCCAGAGACCGAUAGCGCACAAGUAGAGUGAUCGAAAGAUGAAAAGCACUUUGGAAAGAGAGUCAAACAGCACGUGAAAUUGUUGAAAGGGAAGCGCUUGCAGCCAGACUUGCUUACAG